Molecule: unclassified non-coding RNA, 21 nt
Filed under: Chlamydomonas reinhardtii
Lineage: Eukaryota; Viridiplantae; Chlorophyta; Chlorophyceae; Chlamydomonadales; Chlamydomonadaceae
Description: small RNA Cre_3906
Source: RNAcentral
UUGAGGAUGGAGGCCUUGCCC